Molecule: ribosomal RNA, 440 nt
Filed under: uncultured bacterium
Lineage: Bacteria
Description: partial 16S ribosomal RNA
Rfam family: Bacterial small subunit ribosomal RNA
Source: RNAcentral
CCUACGGGAGGCAGCAGUGGGGAAUAUUGCACAAUGGGGGAAACCCUGAUGCAGCGACGCCGCGUGAAGGAAGAAGUAUUUCGGUAUGUAAACUUCUAUCAGCAGGGAAGAAAAUGACGGUACCUGACUAAUAAGCCCCGGCUAACUACGUGCCAGCAGCCGCGGUAAUACGUAGGGGGCAAGCGUUAUCCGGAUUUACUGGGUGUAAAGGGAGCGUAGGCGGGAUAGCAAGUCAGAUGUGAAAGCCUAGGGCUCAACCCCAGGACUGCAUUUGAAACUGUUAAACUAGAGUACAGGAGAGGUAAGUGGAAUUCCUGGUGUAGCGGUGAAAUGCGUAGAGAUUAGGAGGAACACCAGUGGCGAAGGCGGCUUACUGGACUGUAACUGACGCUGAGGCUCGAAAGCGUGGGGAGCAAACAGGAUUAGAUACCCCUGUAGUC